GACGAACGCUGGCGGCGCGCUUAACACAUGCAAGUCGAACGGAAAGGCCUGCUUUCCCUUGUGGAUUGCGGGUACUCGAGUGGCGAACGGGUGAGUAACACGUGAGUGAUCCGCCCCCAACUUGGGUAUAAGCCUGGGAAACUGGGUCUAAUUCCCGAUAGGACUGCAGGGUGGUGCCUGUGGUGGAAAACGAUUUUCUAGUGGUUGGGGAUGAGCUCGCGGCCUAUCAGCUUGUUGGUGGGGUAAUGGCCUACCAAGGCGGCGACGGGUAGCCGGCCUGAGAUGGUGGACGGCCACAUUGGGACUGAGAUACGGCCCAGACUCCUACGGGAGGCAGCAGUGGGGAAUAUUGCCCAAUGGGCGGAAGCCUGAUGCAGCGACGCCGCGUGGGGGAUGACGGCCUUCGGGUUGUAAACUCCUUUCGACCGCGAGGAAGCCACCUGGUUGGAAGGGUGGUGACGGUAGUGGUAGAAGAAGCACCGGCUAACUACGUG
This 494-nucleotide ribosomal RNA is filed under the name uncultured bacterium. RNAcentral's name for it is "partial 16S ribosomal RNA". It matches the Rfam family "Bacterial small subunit ribosomal RNA", at positions 28 to 507 of the family's 1533-position model. The record is from RNAcentral.